GACGAACGCUGGCGGCGUGCUUAACACAUGCAAGUCGAACGGGAAGGCCCUGCUUUUGUGGGGUGCUCGAGUGGCGAACGGGUGAGUAACACGUGGGUAACCUGCCCUUGACUUUGGGAUAACUGCAGGUAACUGGGGCUAAUACCGGAUAGGAGCUCCUGCUGCAUGGGGGGGGUUGGAACGUUUCGGCGGGUGGGGAUGGACGCGCGGCUUAUCAGCUUGUUGGUGGGGUAGUGGCUUACCAAGGCAUUGACGGGUAGCCGGCCUGAGAGGGUGACCGGACACAUUGGGACUGAGAUACGGCCCAGACUCGUACGGGAGGCAGCAGUGGGGAAUAUUGCACAAUGGGAGGAGGCCUGAUGCAGCAACGCAGCGUGCGGGAUGACGGCCUUCGGGUUGUAAACCGAUUUCGCCUGUGACGAAGCGUGAGUGACGGUAAUGGGUAAAGAAGCACCGGCUAACUACGUG
RNAcentral lists this ribosomal RNA (468 nucleotides) under uncultured bacterium. Its description in RNAcentral is "partial 16S ribosomal RNA". It matches the Rfam family "Bacterial small subunit ribosomal RNA", at positions 28 to 507 of the family's 1533-position model. The record is from RNAcentral.